UCUGUCUUCCUGCUCCUGGUGUAACACAGCUGAGCAGGCAAGACGAAAAGGACGGGAGGUAGUGUACAGCACCAUGAGCUUUUAGCCCUGCCCCCAUAGCUGCUUCUCCAGUGCACACAACUUUUUUUUUUAAGUGUGCUUUUUAUAUGGCCCACGCCUGUUACUUGCCCCAGCAAUUCAUAAAUGAGUUAUGACUCCUUUAAAAAAAAAAGUCAGGAUAAGACGACACCAUGAAGAACUGAAAUCCUGAAGCACUAGCAAGGUCUCUCCGCUCAUGUAGAGGCCCAUCUGCAGUUUGUCAGUAAAUCUGAAUCACUCAGAGAACUGAGUGAAAGUGUUGUGGUCAGAUGAGACCCAAAUCAAGCUUUUUGCCAUCAACUCAACUUGCCGUGUUUGGUGGAGAAGAAGAAAUGUUGUCUAUGACCCUAAGAACACCAUAAAGGGAGAACAUUAUGCUUUGGGGGUGUUUUUCUGCUAAUGGGACAGGACAACUUCAAUGCAUCAAAAGGACGGUGGAUAGGAUUAGGUGCCAUCAUAUCAUCAGGGAGAACCUCUUUCCCUCAGCCAGAGUAUUGAAAAUGGAUCAUGGAUGGGUAUUCCAGUAUGAUAAUGACCCAAACACACAGCCAAGGCAACAAAGGAGUGGCUCAAGAAGAAACAGUGUCUCCAAACCUUAAUCCAAUAGAAAAACCUUGGAAGGAGAUGAAAGUUUGAGUUGCCAAAUGUCAGCCUAAAAAUCUUAAUCAGUAGGGAAAGUUGCCUCUUGAGAUGUGUGCAAACCUGGUGGCCAACUACAACGUCUGACCUCUGUGAUUGCCAACAACAGUUUUGCAGGGGUAAAUCAAUAUCCAUUCAUAACUUAUUUGAAAUGCAUUUUUUCUGGAUUUUUUGGCAUUAUUCUGUCUCCCACUGUUCAAAUAAAUCUAUUAUUAAAAGUAUAGGCAUAUUGUUUCUUUGUCAGUGGUCAAACGUACAAAAUCAACAGGGAUUAAAUAACUUUUUUCUUCACUGUUACUCAUUGUUGAAGUUUUUCAAAUCUCAUAUCAAGCUUGGCCCAAGUUGUAGAAUAUUUUUGUUUUGUAAAUAAGUGUCAUCAUUUUCUAUAUAUAAUUAUAAUAGAUGUCACAUAGUAUAGUAACAUUAUAGUAGAUGUGAAUGUGACAAUAUGUGCAUUUUUUUAUUGUUUCUUUAGUUAUUUGGAACUACACAUACAGUAUAUAAAAGAACUAUGGGUAAUAACUCAACAGAAUAAAUCAGUACAGGUGCUAUGAAUGAAAAGUGACUAGACAUGCAUGGCAUUCUCCAUUAAGAAUGUAUAGAGAUUACAGAAGCCUUGGAGUGCUCAAGUCUUCUUCAUUUCAAUAGAGUCUUACCUUGGAAAGACAGUUUCAAUUGAUGUUCCCAAUGUACAUCAGCUUACAUUUAUGACUAGUGAGUGUUGAAACCUUGGGAAUCAUAUUAUUAUGACUAACGUCUAAUGUAUCUAAUGUAUUAACACUCAGAAUCAUAGCAAAGCUUUUCCUUUCCCUGCACAAAGGUCCAGGUAUCUGCAAUAACUUAAUUUUCUUUAGGUCGGGUGUGUGUUGUGAUAAAAUUGUGAGGUUACAGCAACCCUGCAGUAAAAAUCUGAACAUAUCAGAUUUAUUUAGAUGGUCACAAGGUUGCUUGGGAAACAUUUAAGUCUGUGCAUAGUUGCAAUUUUAUGAUAAUUUUACAGCAAUGAAUGGAAGAUACCAUAGAGCUUUAGCCUUAAAAGGGUUGUCCCACAAUGACAUAUACUAUAUUGAAAGAUGAUAAAGUUGGAAAUGAGAAGUCAUAUUUUCACAGCUUUGCUCAAUUUAAUGCAGUGGAGUUACAGAGUGCAUGCAUGACCACUACCCCACUCAAACUCUCCCUCAUUAGGGGGACAAAGAGGGGGGGGGGUUGACACCCAUUCUGGUGAUGACAGUUCCAGCAGUGGAGUCCUCGGUAUUUGUCACCUUUCGUUAGCAUAUGUGAUAAAUCCCUGUGGCAGAACAACCCAAAAUUUGGAACUCAACAAACUUAAGAUAUUGUGGGUAACAUGCAAGACUUAGUUAGUGGAGACUUUAAAAACAUAGGUUGUAAGAAUAAGCAUCAGUUUAUACAGUAGUCAUGCCCAAGUAAUGACUUCUUAUUUAUGGAAUUACAUUAAAAUUCUACAUAUCUUCAGUUAAUGGACUUAUGUGUAUCUUUAUAAACUAUUCUACUAAAGCUUCCUUUACCAGGGAAAAGGAUUCAGGCAUCUGCUCUAGCCCUGUAUCAAAAUAAGUUGGCUAUAGCGGUAGGGCUUGUUGGCCCGGGGCAUAUCGCUCUCCAAUCCUCAUACUGCACCGAGUUCAUUACCAUUCCUUUAUUAUAAACAGGAUCUUCAGUCUGUAUACAUUAUGUGUGUUUGUUUUCAGCAGCUUUUCUACACAAAGCAUAUUGUAUUUUUAAAGCAGGAAUAAUGAGCGUCCUUCUCUUUUCCCAUCAGUUGAGAAUUGGGAAGAUAACUCAUUAGAUUCUAUAAACAUAAUGAACUAAUGCACCGUCCGUGAGGAAAAACAGGAGAUGAAUUUUUAAGAUACAUUUACAUUUUACUAGAAAAGUCAUUAGCACGUAUCUCAUCUGUCCAUGUGUUUGUGAAGUAUUAUUAUUAUUGAUUAAAAGUGUAAAUAACUAAUUGGUAAGAAAAUGAUUACUCUCAAAGCUUACAAUACUUUUAAAUGUAACAUUCUAUUAAUAUGACUUAUUCUAGCAUUCUCUUCAGUAAUUUUCUUUAAAAACAGGUUUGUCAUGUAACUCUUCUUGUAGAAAGGAACACACAUAUUAGCCUAAUUCAUAAAGAAAGGAUAUUACUACAUGUUGAGAAGACCCUGUUAUGAGGUUUUACUCACAUUAACUAUUUUGACCAACAUAUAUAGAACUCCUGAACCGGAAUAUCAAUAAUGCUUGUUAUGUUUUUACUCAUUGUCUACCCCCACUGUGAUCCUGUGUGCAUGUGCUGAAGCUAUAAGUAGUCCAAGGUGUAGUGGGUGUAUUAUUGACAGUAUCUGCUUACAGCACACAGACAUUAUAGAAGCUAAUGGCGAGACAAUGCCAGUUAGUAGGAUUAUACAAAUUACAUUGUUGAAAACAUCUUCUAUACUAUCUAUUAAAGUCUUUUUUGAGGUUGAAGGACGGUGACAGAUUCCCUUUAUUACACAUACCAGCAGAAUUUACAAACUUUAAACUGCCUACUACUGGCAGCCCAGAGAAACGGCACAGAAAAUGUAGUAUUAUAACAUCGAUUACAGGCAUACAGUGAGUCCACUAGAAUGUGACCUGCUUUUCCUAAUAGGUUCAGAGGUUCCUUCAUGAACCUCUUUGAGGCUAGGGCUACACAGCUAUUUUGGCUGUGGCCACAACCUAACAGACGCAUGAAAUCCAUCUUGGAUGAUGGAUUUCUUGCAACUGUUUGCAGCUAUUUUUGGGUUACAACGCCAACUUACAGCCUUUUCCAGGACUUUCUUCAUGCCCCCUUGGUGUGAGCUACGUAAAACCUCUAAAAUCACACUUCUUUGCGUAGAAGAGUGUGCCUUUAGAGGAUAUACACCACUUGAUACAUGUCCGCCAUAGACUACUUGUACAUGUCUGAGAGCCUAAGUCUACACAAA
Hyla sarda is the source of this 3656-nucleotide long non-coding RNA. RefSeq lists it as uncharacterized. The transcript has 3 exons. The record is from RefSeq and is a predicted model, not a curated record. Lineage: Eukaryota; Metazoa; Chordata; Amphibia; Anura; Hylidae.